CUUCCGCAAUGGGCGAAAGCCUGACGGAGCGACGCCGCGUGAACGAAGAAGGCCGUGAGGUUGUAAAGUUCUUUUCGGGAGGGGGAAUGACCGUGGCAGGGAAUGGCCGCGGGAUGACGUGAAUCCCGGAAUAAGCCCCGGCUAACUACGUGCCAGCAGCCGCGGUAACACGUAGGGGGCGAGCGUUGUUCGGAAUCAUUGGGCGUAAAGGGCGUGCAGGCGGCACUGCAAGUCCGGCGUGAAAGACCCCGGCCCAACCGGGGGGGUGCGCUGGAAACUGCGGUGCUUGAGUACAGGAGGGGAUGCCGGAAUUCCAGGUGUAGGGGUGAAAUCUGUAGAUAUCUGGAAGAACACCGAUGGCGAAGGCAGGCAUCUGGCCAUGUACUGACGCUGAGACGCGAAGGUGCGGGGAGCAAACAGGUUUAGAUACCCUGGUAGUCCGCACAGUAAACGAUGUGCACCAGGUGGCGGGGGUAGAACCCCCGGUACCGUAGCAAACGCAUUAAGUGCACCGCCUGGGGAGUAUGCU
This 529-nucleotide ribosomal RNA is filed under the name bacterium Oil-MT1-8. Its description in RNAcentral is "bacterial SSU rRNA". It matches the Rfam family "Bacterial small subunit ribosomal RNA", at positions 363 to 886 of the family's 1533-position model. The record is from RNAcentral.